GUCAAGGAAACUAGCAAAGAUGACUAACGGAUCUAAACACUGUGGAACCUUAUUUGCACAUAUGGGGAUGUAGAUUGUUGCAAUUCCACAUCAAUACUUGUGCAUAAGAGAACAUUUGGAAUUCUUGCUUUCAGAAUAUAAUCCUGCUGCUGUGUUGUGGAAAGACUGAGGGAGGACAAUGACUUGCAUAUGGAAGGGACUUGUAUAAGGAGUAUUCUCAAACAGCAAGUGGUGAGACAUAAAAACAGAAAUAGACAACUUUGAAUGUUUGAGUAUGGCUCAGCAGAAAAAUCGCAAAUGUUCUGUUUGGAGAAAAUCAAUAAUUGCCUUAAUGGUGAUAGCAGCAGUCUCUCUCUUUGUAGUUGCAUUUCAUCUCUCUAAUGAGGCCAAUGAACUAUUGCUUCCAAACUCCAUCGGGCAGUCACGGAUAAGUCACCUGCUGUUAUCUUAUAGACAGAGAAGACAUGUCAAAAUUCAUGAUGGAUAUGUACAUGUACAAACC
Protopterus annectens (West African lungfish) is the source of this 502-nucleotide long non-coding RNA. RefSeq lists it as uncharacterized. NCBI's taxonomy places the organism in Eukaryota, Metazoa, Chordata, Ceratodontiformes, Protopteridae. The record is from RefSeq and is a predicted model, not a curated record. The transcript is spliced from 3 exons.